UUACCUCUCUACGCUUCCCCAUCUCAGAGAAAAUUUCAAGUCCUGAUAGUGGCUUAAAUGACCCCACAGGCAGUCUGAUUUCUCCCUCUUCCUGCCCCACCCCCACUGUCUGCAUUCACCCACUCAACCCUUUUUGUUCUAAUACUUCAGCCUCCUUGCUAAUAAUGUCAUCCAGCCAAGCUCCAGCAUCAGGCAUUUCAUAUUUGCUAGAACUUGCCUCUCUUCCCAGUUCUGCAUUCACCAGUUCACCUGACUCAAGUCUCUGUUCCACUGCCACCUUCACAGUGAGUUCUCAGUGAGACAUUUUAAAUGUUGUAUUAUUUUUUAAAUUGAAGUAUAGUUGGUUUACAAUGUUUCAGGUGCACAGCAGAAUGAUUCAGGUGUGUGUGUGUGUGUGUGUGUGUGUGUGUUUAUGUGUCUCCUAGGCAGUUCACCACCCCACUCACCUGGAAACUCACUUACCUACAUGAGGUUCUGUGUCUCUCCUUCUCUCCAAGUGCCUCUUUUGAAAUAAUUAAUCUAUCAAAUUAUAUGUCCAUGUAAACACACAUAUAUACACAUUUUUAAAUCAUAAAGAAGCCUCAUUUUAUUUGGGGUUAACAGCAACAUGUCCAAGUAGUCUUAUCAGAAUAAAGAACUAUUACUGAAUUGGCAUUAGACAUAAUACACUGGGACUCAGUAGGGAAUGUUCAGUGUUCAUCUAAACACCUAACUUAAAGCCUGGGAGUAGCAGAUGGAAAAGUUUCACAAUCAACAACUUAAAAAGGCAACACAGGAGUUUGCAUCGUGGCUCAGUGGUUAACGAACCGACUAGUAUCCAUGAGGAUGCAGGUUCGAUCCCUGGCCUCACUCAUUGGGGUAAGGAUCUGGCGUUGCCAUGAGCUGUGGUAUAUAGGUUGCAGAGGUGGCUCGGAUCCUGUGUUGCUCUGGUUGUGGCACAGGGCAGCAGCUGUAGCUUUUGACCCCUAGCCUGGGAACCUCCAUAUGCUCGGGGUGCAUCCCUAAAAAGCUAUGCUUUGCUGGUGGAAUUUGUAAAUUACAUAGAGGUGAUUACCCUGCCCAAGGCUGUUUCCCCUUCUGGUGUUUAGUACAAUAGAAUAUCCUCCAGUAUUUUUAAAACAUCGUUAAACUUGUUUUACUACUGACUGAGAUUUUAAGCAAGGUGGUCAGAGAGGAUCUCCUGACCUUAGACCUAAUUGUAUUUACGUUUAUGUUCAGAUUUAAGCUCAGCAGAUCGACUGUAUUAAACAGUUCCAAGUUCACUGUUAAUUGCAGUGAAGAAGGAACAUUGCUUUCAGGAAGCUGGAACCCUCAAGGAGCAGUGCAGCUUACAAAGGACUGUGGGGUAACAUACGUAGUUAUAACAGGCCAAUGAGAAGUUCAUCCUGUCCAGGGGAACAGUGAUAUAUACCUUUGGGAAGUCAUCAAGCAAGAGCAAGCAAUAUGCAUGAUUUAAGAAGAUCUUAAAAGAAAAGCUGUUUUCUCUGGUUUAGAUAAAUGAACAGAUGUGGCUGGUCUGAUGUGUUUUGACAAAGUGCUCCAAAGACGUGGUGCUUAAAAGGCUGAAAAGCUACCGCUCCGGCAAUUUCCAUCUUCUAAGAGCCAUGCUGCUGAUUUCACAGGUCUCAUGCAGGAUAUGAAAGCAGUUUAUGAAAGUGCAAAGGGACAUGAGCAAUUGCAGAGCCACGAGUAAAAAUGUGGGAUUUUACAUGCAAUCAGCCAUGUUAUAAAAACUGCUUUGGUAAAAUAGACAUCAAAUUCUAGCUCUCCCAAGCAUGGCAAAGGCAGUGGGCUCACAAUAGGAUGGAUACAAAUUGAUUAAAUAGGGUGGGAUAAAUUUAAGAGAAAUUGCAAUCUUCUGUGAAAUAGGAGGGAAAAAAUGUGUGCAUACACAUUCACAUACCUAUCCAUCCAGGUACAAAAGCAAAAGUCUAGUACAGGUUAACUUUUUUUUUUUUUUUUUUACCAACGUUAUAUUUUAAGUAAGUUAAUUUAAGAUGAAACUUUUACCCAGGAGUUCCCAUCAUGCCACAGGGGAAACAAAUCUGAAUAGGAACCAUGAGGUUGUGGGUUUGAUCCCUGGCCUCGCUCAGUGGGUUAAGGAUCCAGCAUUGCCGUGAGCUGUGGUGUAGGUAGCAGACACGGCUCGGAUCUGGAGUUGCUGUGGCUCUGGCCUAGGCCGACAGCUACAGCUCUGAUUGGACCCCUAGCCUAGGAACCUCCAUAUUCCACGGGUGCAGCCCUAAAAAGCAACCAAAAAAAAAAAAAGAAAGAAACUCCCCCAAAGCUAGAUGAUUUAAGGUAUCCUUCACAGUCUCAUAGUUAGACAUCAGUCACAUUUAUUUGCUUGAUCCUAAAUCCCUAAAAAAUAGAUAACACAAGAGGAUAAGAGUUAUUUGGCAGUGGUUCACCAUUUAUAACUGUUUUUUUAGCCUUCACUCAUCUUUUCCAAGGAAAUGUAAAAAGCAUUACCCAAAGAAAAGAAAUUCUUCAUAUUCCAUUAUAACCACAGAAAGAUAAACACGUAAAUGGUGGUUUUGUGAUCAUAUCAAUGUACUAAAUCAUAAACAUUUUUCCUUGGAUUGAAUCUACCUUCCUAACAGGUGUAAGUCUGCUUGGUCUAAGAUUACCCUCAUAUCACUGUUAAAAAUCAAAAACAAAAAUAACUUGCUUUUCGGGAGUUCCUGCUGUGGCACAUUGGAAAUGAAUCCAUCUAGGAACCAUGAGGUUUCGGGUUUGAUCCCUGUCCCUGCUCAAUGGGUUAAGGAUCCGGCGUUGCCAUGAGCUGUGGUAUAGGCCGGCAGCUACAGCUCUGAUCGGACCCCUAGCCUGGGAACCUCCAUAUGCCACAGUUGCAGCCCUAAAAAAAAAAGCCCCCCAAAAUAAAUAACUUGCUCUUCAAAGAACAUGUCUUGUUAGAGUUGAGAUUUAGUUGUCAUAGACACUGAGUUACAAAUCAUGAUCUGCUACAAAAACAGUGAGAUGUAAAUGCUCCCCCUGGAAAACCAUAGGACUGAAUCCACAAAUAAUCAUUGAACACUGUCUCAUUCUUCCCAACAUUCGAAUUAUUCUAGUCAAGGAAAACAUAGCAAAAGGCCAAUUAUUUCCUUAGUCAAAGAUUCUUAAAUGUGAAUCCACAGAUUUUCUAUGUUAAAAUGAGACCCUUUUAUAAAAGGGGGAUGUUUCAUUUCAGGUCAUUCAAAGUUAUCUAAAGCUCUUUCUAUUCCGUUCAGUGUUCUAAUUUAGUUGGAAGGAAAAGACAAACAAAUCUCUCUAAUGACACAACUGUCACAUCAAUAUUAUAAAAUUCUUUGAUUAUUUUUUAUUAUAAAGGGUAUCAAAAUUUGACCUUUAUAUAGCCCUCUACAUUUUUAAGUGUUUGAAGCUGUUGUCUAAUUUAAUUCUAACAAUGAUCAUGGGAGUUCAGUCUAAAUCCCUUGCUCUACUCAGAAAUAAUGGCCUCUGGUCAUGCCCCCAUAUUGGAUAGGAAAUGGAUGUUAUUAUUUAUGGAAAAAUAAUCUUAUUGGAAGCUGUUAACAGUUAAGGUGGUUGGUGUGUGAGUGUGUGGAGGUGUAAAUAUGUGAAGGUGGUACAGAGUCAGUUGGGGUUAUGUUUGGUUUUGCCUCCAUAUGGCAGUAGGACCGCUAGAAAUUUCCCUGUACACCACCUGGGCCCUCCAUUGCCUCACAUGAAUAACUUUACUUGAUUUGCAUUAUUAUUGAGAAGUUUUAGUGAAAUUGUGCAUGGAACUCACAUAGCAUGUUGUCUGGCACCUAGUAAAUAGUCUAGGUAUUAAUUUUAUGGGUAAUUAUAGCUGAGCACAGAAUAGUCAAGUGGGAAUUUAAAGGCAUUCUGAUAUUCUGAAAAGUCAUUAAUAAUGUAAAACUAUUGAUAGAGUUAUAAGUCCUUAAGUGGAGAAUCCAAGUUAAUUACUUUCCCAAAUUCUCUGAUUUGAGUCCAUCCAAGUUUAGCAACAUGAAGUUACCUAUUUCUUUCCUUUGUAUGGAUAUAGGACAUAAGAUGCCCAAAGCAACCCUGCAUUUAAAUAUAGAAAGUAGGAAACUGUAAAAGUAUAAUUGCUUCAGCCUCUGCCCUUCAAUAUCUGUUGACACUGCAAUAUAUUACAAUAGUCAGGUUUUCAGUUUACCUUGGUAGCUUGGGAAAUCUUAACACAUCAAAGUUGUGUUCAUCAAAGUUGGGACAUUCCUUCUGUCCUGAUUAAAAGUCACUUUUUAUAAGUGUGUCUUCCUUAAAUUCCUUGAGAGCAAGAGUCUAGCCAAGUCUUUUGCACACUCAAAUUGGCACUAAUAAAUGCUCUUGGACCCAAACUGAUUCAAAAGGGUGUACUGGAAAUUUCUAUACCAUUGAGUUCCCACAGGCUGGCUAUGCAAAAUACAUCUUAUGAACCAUAUUGUCUUGUUUGCAGUCGUUGCUGUGAGCUGCGGUGUAGGUCAAAGACAUGGCUUGGAUCUGGCAUUGCUGUGGCUGUGGUGCAAACCUGUAGCUGCAGCUCUGAUUCAACUUCCAUGUGCUGGGAACUUCCAUGUGCUAUAGGUAUGGCCCUAAAAGC
Molecule: long non-coding RNA, 4570 nt
Filed under: Sus scrofa (pig)
Lineage: Eukaryota; Metazoa; Chordata; Mammalia; Artiodactyla; Suidae
Description: lncRNA (ENSSSCG00015057127.1)
Source: RNAcentral